AAAAAAGAGUAAACAAAAAGAAAAUAGUAAACGCUUAAUCCAAUUCAAGAAACAAAGUGAAACGCAUGCUUUGAUGGAUAUAUAAUCUUCAUGAUCACCAAGUUUUGUUAGCAAUAAGAGGUUCGACCUUCAUUGAUGGAGCUUUAACAUUACUAAACUCACAACUAACUGCAAUAGCAAUAUCAUCAGUUAGGGCGUCUUCAGUCUCACAACUAUCUGUAAUAGAAGCAUCAUCAGAUAGAGCGUCUUUAAUGUCUUCAUUAUUUUGUUGAAUAUUCAACUUACUUCGUGAUGCUUGGAUCCCUUCUAACUCCAUUGCAACUUCUUGCAUUGUAGGUCGUUUCUUUCCACUCAAAUUUAAGCAUCUUUUUGCAAGAUUAGAAACUUCAAUAAUUUCUUCUUCAGGGCAGUGCUCCACAAUGCGAGCAUCAAUGAUAUCAAAGACUUUAUUCUCUUCCAUCAAAAGAAUAA
RNAcentral lists this unclassified non-coding RNA (471 nucleotides) under Hevea brasiliensis (rubber tree). The record is from RNAcentral. Lineage: Eukaryota; Viridiplantae; Streptophyta; Magnoliopsida; Malpighiales; Euphorbiaceae.